CAUCAGUUUUCCCCGGGGGAUAAAGGCGGCGGGAAUGUGGCUCUCUUCGGGGAGUGUUAUAGCCCACCGUGUAAUGCCCUGGGGGGGACUGAGGUUCGCGCAUCUGCAAGGAUGCUGGCGUAAUGGUCAUCAACGA
Molecule: ribosomal RNA, 136 nt
Filed under: Fusarium concolor
Lineage: Eukaryota; Fungi; Ascomycota; Sordariomycetes; Hypocreales; Nectriaceae
Description: partial large subunit ribosomal RNA
Source: RNAcentral